Molecule: ribosomal RNA, 366 nt
Filed under: uncultured bacterium
Lineage: Bacteria
Description: bacterial SSU rRNA
Rfam family: Bacterial small subunit ribosomal RNA
Source: RNAcentral
GAUGAACGCUAGCGGCAGGCUUAAUACAUGCAAGUCGUGGGGCAGCAUGAGUAGCAAUACUUGAUGGCGACCGGCAAACGGGUGAGGAACACGUACACAACUUUCCUUCAAGCGGGGAAUAGCCCAGAGAAAUUUGGAUUAAUACCCCAUAAUAUAUUUGAUAAGGCAUCUUAUUAAUAUUAAAGCUUCGGCACUUGAUGAUGGGUGUGCGGCUGAUUAGAUAGUUGGCGGGGUAACGGCCCACCAAGUCUACGAUCAGUAGCUGAUGUGAGAGCAUGAUCAGCCACACGGGCACUGAGACACGGGCCCGGACUCCUACGGGAGGCGAGCACGUAAGGAAUAUUGGACAAUGGACGAAAGUCUGAU